Molecule: transfer RNA, 69 nt
Filed under: Mionectes oleagineus (ochre-bellied flycatcher)
Lineage: Eukaryota; Metazoa; Chordata; Aves; Passeriformes; Tyrannidae
Description: tRNA-Arg
Source: RNAcentral
AGAAAAUUAGUCUAACCAAGACAGUUGAUUUCGGCUCAACAAAUCCCAGUCCUACCCUGUGAUUUUCUU